UUUCAUUCGAACAUAUUGGAUAAAAAAAGUUUGAAUUCAAUUGAGUUAUUUCGAUUUUAAAUACAUUGUUAGGACCAAUUUCCGAACAUCGUCGAUAAAUAUAUUUUGUAAGCAAUAUGAAACAUUCGAUAAUGAAUGGUUAUUGUUUAUUUCUAUUGGGAUAACGAAUUGAUAAGGAAUCCCCAUAGCUGAGCGUACUUUGUGAAUUACCGUUACCGAUUCUUUCAAAAGUCAAUAAAGUCGAAGGACAAAGCAACAGCAGGAUUCAUCCGAGAUCUACACUGCUAAACUACUGUUGAAAAAUAUAGAACUUACCACUUAAGGUCUGAAGAUGUUAACCAACUCAGUAUUCCUCGCAUGUUUUGCAUUGCUCAUGGCUUUUGUCCAAUCCGAACCAAUAAGUACUCAGGCAGAACUGGAAAAUUCAAGAAUUUUGAGAAUUCCUCAUGGCAUCAUACCAAUAAUCAGCCGCCAUGUUCGUGAAACCGAUGACGGAUGGCAAGUCCAACAAAAUAUCAACAGAGAUCCUUUUGGAAAUACAGCAGGAUCUUUCAGUGCGCAGAAAAGUUUUGGGGACAAUGAGUUCCAUGCUAGUGCAUCGAGAGUCUUCUCAGGACCAAAAAAAAACGAACCCACGUUCAAUAUAGGAGGAACCUUCACGUGGUGAAUCCGAAAGAAUGAUUUUUGAACUUUGAACUUUAUGUAUACAAAAGCAAAGAUGUACUGACGUUUUGAAACCUAUGAAGAACUUAAAUGAUUAUUUUUUGUUUUUGAAGAAAUAUAUUAGGUUUCAAUAAAAUUUUCCCAAAA
Molecule: long non-coding RNA, 810 nt
Organism: Harmonia axyridis
Lineage: Eukaryota; Metazoa; Arthropoda; Insecta; Coleoptera; Coccinellidae
Exons: 2
Source: RefSeq, a predicted model, not a curated record